GAUGAACGCUAGCGGCAGGCUUAAUACAUGCAAGUCGAGGGGCAGCAGGGUGUAGCAAUACAUCGCUGGCGACCGGCAAACGGGUGCGGAACACGUACGCAACCUUCCUUCAAGCGAGGAAUAGCCCAGGGAAACUUGGAUUAAUACCUCGUAACAUUGUGAAGUGGCAUCACUUUAUAAUUAGAGCUCAGGCGCUUGAAGAUGGGCGUGCGACUGAUUAGGUAGUUGGCGGAGUAACAGCCCACCCAAGCCUGCGAUCAGUAACUAGGUGUGAGAGCACGACCAGUCACACGGGCACUGAGACAC
This 306-nucleotide ribosomal RNA is filed under the name uncultured bacterium. RNAcentral's name for it is "bacterial SSU rRNA". It matches the Rfam family "Bacterial small subunit ribosomal RNA", at positions 28 to 327 of the family's 1533-position model. The record is from RNAcentral.